AACGAACGCUGGCGGCAGGCUUAACACAUGCAAGUUGAGCGGGAUUUUCAGGUAGCUUGCUAUUUGAAAUGAGAGCAGCGCACUGGUGAGUAACACGUGGGAACAUACCUUUUGGGUGGGGACAACAGUUGGAAACGACUGCUAAUACCGCAUACGCCCUGAGGGGGAAAGGAGAGAUUUGCCGAAAGAUUGGCCCGCGGAAGAUUAGGUAGUAGGUGGGGUAAUGGCCUACCUAGCCGACGAUCUAUAGCUGGUCUGAGAGGACGAUCAGCCACAUUGGAACUGAGACACGGUCCAGACCCC
RNAcentral lists this ribosomal RNA (303 nucleotides) under Alphaproteobacteria bacterium. RNAcentral's name for it is "bacterial SSU rRNA". It matches the Rfam family "Bacterial small subunit ribosomal RNA", at positions 29 to 339 of the family's 1533-position model. The record is from RNAcentral. Lineage: Bacteria; Pseudomonadati; Pseudomonadota; Alphaproteobacteria.